CUUUUUCAAGGAUGACAAGAUUGCCGAGACUUACGUGCCAGAUGUACAUCCAUGCAAUCCUCAUAUUGCAAUGAGUCCGGGCUACGAUGGCAGAGAUUUGGCAGGGCCAUCCAGUAAGAACAUAUGAGACUGGAGAUUAUAAUCUUGUCGAUGACAAUUUUCACCGGAUGGAACCUCGUUGGUAGUCAAGACGACGAAGGUGCGUAAUACGAUCAGGAAACUCGGUUGCCUCCUCAUCAAAGGAAUCUUCAAGAUCUCUUGUGCGAUGCAAGCUUGAUUCCCUAUCCAGAACCUUAUCAAAGCUCGUACCAGCAACGUCGUCUGGGACUCCUAGGUUGCUACUGGCAACCACCAUCAGUUCAGCUCGCAGUGGGAACGUUUGAUGAUCCAGCUUUCAUUCCUCAGGAUAAGCCUCAGUUUCUUCUCUGCAAGCGAUUG
Selaginella moellendorffii is the source of this 438-nucleotide long non-coding RNA. RefSeq lists it as uncharacterized. The record is from RefSeq and is a predicted model, not a curated record. Lineage: Eukaryota; Viridiplantae; Streptophyta; Lycopodiopsida; Selaginellales; Selaginellaceae. The transcript has 6 exons.